This is a long non-coding RNA of Cyprinus carpio (common carp), 1423 nucleotides long. The record is from Ensembl. Lineage: Eukaryota; Metazoa; Chordata; Actinopteri; Cypriniformes; Cyprinidae.
GAGAAACACCGUCAGGCAUUACUGGUUAAGAGACAGACACAAGAGCUGCUGUCAGAGAGGGAGAGCAGGAGAAGACUGGAGUCUGAAGUGGAGGCUCUGUGCUCACAAGAGCGAGAGCUCAAAGGCAAAGCAGAGAGACUGGAAGCAGCUUUAUACAAGGUGUCUGAUGGUCUUCUUGUUAAACAAAUGCUUAUUACAAUACAUCAGAACCGAACAAAUAAUGGAACUGAUGUUCUAUUUGACCAACAUUGUAAACCAUAACAUUAUGUUAUAUAAUGUACAUUAUAUGUCUGACAGUUUUGCUGAAUGCCAAGAUUUUAUUCAGAAAUAGGAACAGGAGUUUAUGAGGCUGAAACUGCAGCAUGCAUUAGAUCUAAAGGUAAAAGUGUACACACAUUUACUGUAGUAGUAGUUAUUUUAUAUCACCUUCUGGUAAAACUUUAUUAUUCUCUUGCUGUUAUGCUAUUUCCAUACAGUAUGUAUGUUUUUUUUUGGUUAGGAAUUGCAAAGCCAGAACUGGCGUAACGUUUCCAGAUCUCCAGUCAGCAGCUGUAUCCUACAGACUCAUCUUCCCCUCGCUCAGCAUAACGUUAAUGGCCUAAUGGAGGUAUGAAAAAAGCCCUUCUAACCACCCACACACUUAAAUAUCUGAAUUGACAGGAUGUGCUGGAACGGAUUUCCCUCUGGAAUCAAUCUCCAGAUGAGAGUCUCUGACCCCCUUGUGGAGUUGAAGAGGUUUUUAAGAGAGCUGCGUGGUGGGAUUGCUGAAGAGCAAGGACCACACACUACCUUAAGCUUCAGGAGGAGACCCGAGGAAGACCACAAAUCUAGACAGUGAGAGUCUCAUUCAACUGAAAAAAAAAUAUAUAGAGAGAGAAAAGCACCUUAGAGAAGACUGUAUCAUCAAGGAAUGGAGGAGUCAAAGAAAUUACAAGCAUUUUUUAUUUUUGCAUACCUAUAGGAACUAAAGGGGCUGAAAGUACUAAAAAAAUAUAUAUAGAGAAAAGCACCUUAGGUAAGACUGUAUCAUCAAGGAAUGGAGGAGUCAAAGAAAUUACAAGCAUUUUUUAUUUUUGCAUACCUAUAGGAACUAAAGGGGCUGAAAGUACCACAAGGCCAACUGGAAGAAUAAACAGUUACAGUGAGCCAGGAUCCUUCAGAACUUCUGAACCUAAUAAGCAGGAUCACCCCAGCCCUUUAUCAGCUGACAAUAAUGCAGUAUGUUUUAGAGCAGGACAGACAUGCUGUUCCUGCUCUGUUUGUGCAACAGGACGCAGGUCUCCUGUGCACCCCACUGACAGAAACUAUUGGCUGGAGAUGGAGCGCCUUGCCUACGCUAAUCAAAUAUCUGCCAACAAUCAAGAUGAGCUCACAGGACAGGCAUCUCAGAAAAUCAAGCUGGACAGGCCGUAGAAGCUACUGA